UUGGAUUAGUUAGUUUAACUUACGGCCUGUCAGUGAUAAGAAAGAUAAGAGCAGCUAAGCUAAUAAGAAAUUUUGAUCCGGCUGCCAGUUACUAUAGUCCGGUAUUCCAUUUGCUAUACAACGGGUGGAACAAGGUAACAACCAAGCGAUCUGAUGACUUUCUUGCUGUCUGAUGCAGCUGCUUUAGGGUACUCAAACAGUUUCAGUCCAAAGACUCAUUC
Long non-coding RNA from Anastrepha obliqua, 221 nucleotides. RefSeq lists it as uncharacterized. The transcript is spliced from 3 exons. Lineage: Eukaryota; Metazoa; Arthropoda; Insecta; Diptera; Tephritidae. The record is from RefSeq and is a predicted model, not a curated record.